RNAcentral lists this small RNA (252 nucleotides) under Arabidopsis thaliana (thale cress). RNAcentral describes it as "ATSL146370". The record is from RNAcentral. Lineage: Eukaryota; Viridiplantae; Streptophyta; Magnoliopsida; Brassicales; Brassicaceae.
UUUUGAAUUAAUAAUCUCUCUCUCUUUUUUGUUUUGUAAACAUGCGGAUCUAAAAAUAUUUAUUAAAUAUUAUUAAUUAUCUUUGAAUUCAGAAUGAUUACCCGCACAUUUUUUUGUAAUUUUAUUUGGUAAAUAAUUUUAGAAACUGGAUUUAAUUUGAGAAACUUUUUGAAUGAAUUUCAGUAUACGUGACCACACUUCUAUCAAUAUGUUAUAAUUAUUGAAUAAUUUAAAUAAUUAAAAAGAGUUUUU